UGUGGGAAGCUCUUCAAAGACAGCCCAGUGCCUCCAACGCAGUUCGAAAGGGCCUACAACACCUGAUACCUGGGGGAAAUUAUUGCCCUCAAAUGAGGAAAAGCAAAGCAAAGUUAAUAUUCGAUCAUGCACAAAUAUUUUGUCAACUAGUAAACCGCACCUCACAAUAGCGUGGACCCAGCAGGACAAAGGUGGAGCUUGGACUUGGGCAAGGUGACUAGCUCAGAAAUCAUGCCACCCCUCCCCCUCGACGGAGCCUGGGAUAGAGUUGGCCUGGAGGCUUCCAAGGGGGAGAAAUGAAUGAGUGAAGAUUCUUCUUCUGGGUCAGAGAUACGGCAACAACCUAAGUAUCUGUCAGUUGACGAAUGGAUAAAGAAGAUGUAGAAGACAGGUACAAUGGAAUAUUAUUCAGCCAUGAGGAAGAAGGAAAUUUUGCCAUUUGUGACAACACGGAUGAAAC
This is a long non-coding RNA of Leopardus geoffroyi (Geoffroy's cat), 460 nucleotides long. RefSeq lists it as uncharacterized. Lineage: Eukaryota; Metazoa; Chordata; Mammalia; Carnivora; Felidae. The transcript is spliced from 3 exons. The record is from RefSeq and is a predicted model, not a curated record.